This 518-nucleotide ribosomal RNA is filed under the name uncultured Staphylococcus sp. Its description in RNAcentral is "bacterial SSU rRNA". It matches the Rfam family "Bacterial small subunit ribosomal RNA", at positions 8 to 507 of the family's 1533-position model. Lineage: Bacteria; Bacillati; Bacillota; Bacilli; Caryophanales; Staphylococcaceae. The record is from RNAcentral.
AGAGUUUGAUCCUGGCUCAGGAUGAACGCUGGCGGCGUGCCUAAUACAUGCAAGUCGAGCGAACAGAUGAGAAGCUUGCUUCUCUGAUGUUAGCGGCGGACGGGUGAGUAACACGUGGGUAACCUACCUAUAAGACUGGGAUAACUCCGGGAAACCGGGGCUAAUACCGGAUAAUAUAUUGAACCGCAUGGUUCAAUGUUGAAAGACGGUUUCGGCUGUCACUUAUAGAUGGACCCGCGCCGUAUUAGCUAGUUGGUAAGGUAACGGCUUACCAAGGCAACGAUACGUAGCCGACCUGAGAGGGUGAUCGGCCACACUGGAACUGAGACGCGGUCCAGACUCCUACGGGAGGCAGCAGUAGGGAAUCUUCCGCAAUGGGCGAAAGCCUGACGGAGCAACGCCGCGUGAGUGAUGAAGGUCUUAGGAUCGUAAAACUCUGUUGUUAGGGAAGAACAAAUUUGUUAGUAACUGAACAAGUCUUGACGGUACCUAACCAGAAAGCCACGGCUAACUACGUG